This is a long non-coding RNA of Ostrea edulis (European flat oyster), 1606 nucleotides long. RefSeq lists it as uncharacterized. NCBI's taxonomy places the organism in Eukaryota, Metazoa, Mollusca, Bivalvia, Ostreida, Ostreidae. The transcript has 2 exons. The record is from RefSeq and is a predicted model, not a curated record.
GAGACACACACCAUUCAGUUUGAUGAUCAGGGUCGUCCUCUCUAUUCAUUUGGUUAUACUAAAUACCUCAGUGAGAAUAGGAACCUGGAUAUCUGUGUGGCUGACCGGUCAGCUAGAGCAGUAGUGAUGGUCAAUCAGUCAGGAAAACUCCGAUUUAGAUACACUGGUCAUCCCUCUAAUACCGAGCAAUCAUUUGAUCCACACGGCAUCACUAAGGACAGCCAGAGUCACAUCCUGACAGCAGACCUCAACUGCAGGUUGCAUCACUCUAUUUAUGUGGAGGUUCACGUCGAAUCAUGGCCGAAAGAAAAUAAUUCCUGGAACUUUGCAUGUUUUAUGGGACUUUCCUUAUGAGAGGUGGGUGAUUUGGCUUUUGACCAGCUGAUUUUGCACGUGCUUGACUUCGAUGUAAACAAACUCUCACGCCUUGCUGGAUGGGUAUGUAUUUUUUGGUAUGAAAAUGCUCAUUAAGAACUGUACUACAUGAUGUGAAAGUACAACUUCUGAGAAGUUUACUUUAAGGCAGCAGGGUCAGGUCAAAGGUGAGUAAUUUUGGUAAGAACAUAUAGGCAAAAUUAAUAGAGUGGUGCAACCAAUAACCGUAUCCACAUCCUAGAUCUGGACGGACAUUCAGAAUUUAGAACGCCCAUGGGGUUUAUGUGUGAACAUUAGCGACAACCUCUUUGUGGCUGAAUUAGGAACUGCUAAAGUGAAGAAAGUCCAAUAUCUACAAACACAGUGUUAAUUACACAUCUCAACAUAGUGUUAAUUACACAUCUCAACAUAGUGUUAAUUACACAUCUCAACAUAGUGUUAAUUACACAUCUCAACACUCUGUUAAUUAAAUCUACCAACAUAGUGUUUAUUACAGCUCUGUGUGGAUUAGUGUUAAUAAGUGAUGUACAUCUUGAAAAUCUGUCAAUUACAUCUCUAAACACAGUGUUAAUUACAGCAGUGUGUUAAUUACAGCUGUGUGUUAAAUACAGCAGUGUGUUAAUUACAGCAGCGUGUUAAUUAUAACAGUGUGUUAAUUAUAGCUGUGUGAUAAUUACAGCUGUGUGUUAAUUAUAGCUGUGUAAUAAUUACAGCAGUAUGUUAAUUACAGCUGUGUGUUAAUUACAGCAGUGUGUUAAUUAUAGCAGUGUGUUAAUUACAGCUAUGUGUUAAUUACAGCAGUGUUUGUGAUGUGUAACUAAACUGUGUAUUGACACAGUAGAUUUGUGGUUGUUUGUUUGUGUCUGAUUGAACAUUAUUUUGUUUGUUAAUUAUAUCUUUUAUUGUUUUAUCAUGUUUUAUUGUAUAUAUAAUAGAUAAACAUUAUUCUGUGUGUUAAUUAUGUCUUUUAUUGAUUUAUCAUGUUUUAUUGUAUUUAUGAUAGAUAAACUUAUUCUGUUUGUUAAUUAUAUUUUUUUUAUUGUUUUAUCAUGUUUUAUUGUAUAUAUAAUAGAUAAACAUUAUUCUGUGUGUUAAUUAUAUCUUUUAUUGUUUUAUCAUGUUUUAUUGUAUAUAUAAUAGAUAAACAUUCUUCGGUGUGUUAAUUAUAUCUUUUAUCGUUUUAUCAUAUUUUAUUGUAUAUAUAAUAGAUAAACAUUAUUCUGUGUGUUAA